Molecule: ribosomal RNA, 309 nt
Filed under: Triticum aestivum (bread wheat)
Lineage: Eukaryota; Viridiplantae; Streptophyta; Magnoliopsida; Poales; Poaceae
Description: partial small subunit ribosomal RNA
Source: RNAcentral
AUGCCAUCUUGCCGCACAUCCACUGGUAAGGAAGCGAUUGCAACCCGCCGCGUCAACUACAUCGCAUGUGCCCGCACCCUUACGUGGGCGGACUUUGACCCUGCCAAGGACGAAUGGGUGAAGGAGGAGGCCAAGGCCGCAGUGGAGGAGAGGAAAAGGAAGGCCGCUUGCAAGAAAAGAGAGGCCGCCCGUCGCAAGAAACGUGACGCCACCUGCACCGUGAAGAAGAGCUGGGCGGAGAUCCAAGUACCAUGGGCUACCGCCGCAAGGCCGAGAAAGAGAAUGACGACGUCUGCCCAGCAUGGGUGA